Molecule: long non-coding RNA, 4452 nt
Organism: Mizuhopecten yessoensis (Yesso scallop)
Lineage: Eukaryota; Metazoa; Mollusca; Bivalvia; Pectinida; Pectinidae
Exons: 2
Source: RefSeq, a predicted model, not a curated record
UAUUAUCAUUUAUAUAUAUAACACCAUGUAAAAUUGAAAAUACAACAUGUAUAAUGCCCCAUAAAAAUGUAUUUACCUCACUAGAAUCAUCACUGUUAUUCACCCUAUGGCACUGUAAAAUCUUUAUCUUAUAUUGGAGGUCAUUCAAUGAUUUCACUGUUAAACAUAAAUUCACAUUUAAAAUAGUUUUAUUUUCAUAUAGAUGUCAAAAGAGUGCUUAAAAUAUUUUCGCAUUGAUUUUCACAAAUUACAUUUGCAAUUCAUUCCAUUAAGUGCUUCAGAUUUGUAGAUAAUUUAUUUUACAUGUAAUUUAUAGAAGUUGUCAUUUUCCAGGUGGAUUUUUAUUAAAUUUUCUAUUGACUUGAAGAGAAAAAUAAGGUAUUGUAAGGGAGAUAACUCCUACAUCCUUAUAAGUUAUUGAGAGUCUCCUUCAAAGUUCUUGGGUAGCUUAAAGGUCAAUCGAAAGUCAUUUGAAGGACCUUAUGUGUUUUUAAAAGUUGUCUUUUUUAUACUUUGUAUCAAGAUUUUACAUCUAUAUGGGAAGUUAAAACAUUGUACAGUCAGGACCUUAUUUGGAGCACAAGUUAAAUGUGAGUGUUUUUGAAAUUUAUUUAAAACAAUUUUGAAAUGAUUUUUUAAGAUUUUAAAAUUAUGCUGUUUGGUUGCUCAUGGUUAACAGCAAUAUUGACUGAUUUGUUGGAAUGUGAACCUGUUUAUGGAGAGGUUGAUAUCAACGUUUACACCCUGUAGAUUUUUGAAAACUUAUGAACAGGGUCAUGGACCAUUCAGGUUUGUUUUUUCUUGAGUCGUUCUGGUCCAUCUGUUCUUAUAUACAAUUAAACUAUCAUUAUUAACAAAGAUAUCUUGGAUAUAUCUUUCUGAACUUAAAAUAAACUUGAGGCCCAUUUGAGGAUUGUUUCUAUGUAUUUUAUCUUGUAUACAUGGAGACAUAAAACCUUGUUUCAAAGUUGUUCUUUUUCACAACAAUUUAUACAUAAGAAAAUUUGCCAAUAAUUAGACUCAUCUGGUGUUGAGUGAAUGAAGCAAAUGUUAUUCCCUUUAUCAAAAUGUUUAAUCUGUUUUAUCUAGUCAUUUUGGCAAAAAUGUUAUGUGAUUUUUCCUAUACAUCUCCGUACAUUCACUGUUAGUUCACCUGCAGUGUUAAAUACCCUGGUGGACUGAUGUUAUGGUGUUUCGUCUGUUGUUAGACGUCGCUGUCUGACAGUAUUUGCAUUAUAUGACAUCCCUUCCAAAACCAUUGAGCAGGUUUCAAUCAAGUUCUGGCAGUAGCAUUCUUAAUGGCUAACAUUUUUAGAACUUAGUCGGAGUCUUCCGAACUUACUUUAUUAGACAGGUUUCCACCAAAAUGAAAUGUGAGCUUCCAAAAAAGCAUGGUGAGCAAUUCAAGACCAUUGUUGCCUCUUGUUAACAAAGGAUAAUGAGUUACAAAGUAAGAUGAUGACACUUGAAAUAGGAUCAGGGUAUGAUAUAACACAAUACUUGAUCAGGACAGGCUUAGAAUGAUAAUUAUGACACAAUAUUUGAUGUAUUAGGAGGACCGGCUUUUGCAGUUUUGGAAGUAUUUUAUGAUAAUUCACACAUCAGCGCACAUGUCUGAGAAGGUAUUCAGUAUUUAAACACAUGUGUUUGAAUCAUAUAUUUAUACCGUAUUGUUCACUUAGAUGUGUUGGUACAACAGUGAACCUGGACUGUUAACUAUCUUGUGAUGAUACCCCUAAUGUAUCUGUGAUUUGCAUGAUGGUCCCACAAUUGUGAUUUAACAUUAACUAUUUAUUAUAGAUUUUUUCUCAAUAUUUAAGAAGCUGUUAUAAAAAUAUUUACUCUUUGUUAUUUUAUCUUUAUAUUUGUGCAACAUCAGCAGACAUUGCCCUGUUGGCUUGUUUUUUGUCUUUAGACAUCAAAGACAAAGUAUUGUGGAAUGUAUGACUGAGGAGGGUGAGUUUUUUCAAAGUAAUUUCUAUAAUAAAACUGCACAAUUGGCCUUUGUACAUGUAUUCCUGCAUUUAUGGGGAUAUUAAUGAGGUAAUAACAUUUCAUCAACACUUGAAUUUGCAAUGCAAAAACUUCAUUGACUUUUGUGAAGUGGGGUUGGGGUUAGGAGUUUUGUAAUUUUUUCUAAUACUUUUACUUUUACUACAGGUGCAGGUGGUUUUGUAAGACCUGUUCUAUGUUUAUUACAAAUUGUACAUCUAGACACCAUCUCAUUCCCUGGCUUCAGGAGAUAAACCAAGAUGACAUUCAAGUCCCAUUCAUUUGUAUUUUUGAGGACACUUUAAUUUCCCAGGAUGCUUUGGGAUUUUUUAUAAUACUUUCCCAUAAUGCUUUGGGGUUUUUGAUGACAUUUUCCCAUAAUGCCUUGGGUUUUUAAAAAAAUAUCAAUUGAUAUCACAUCAGUGGCGGAUCCAGCAACCUAUCUGGAGGGGUUUCCAAAUGUCCAGGGGGGGCCCUCGGGAUCCACCACUGAAGUUAUAUACAUCUCUGAUUUAAACUUAUCCAUUGUGUAAAAACACAAAACAAAUAUUGAUUGGAGAUUUGAUUCUGAGAGGAUAGUUUGUGUAGGACAUUACAGCCUACACUGUAAUGAGGUCGGUAAUGUUAACAGGUGGUCGGUAAUGUUAAAAGGAGGUCGGUAAUGUUAACAGGAGGUCGGUAAUGUUAACAGGUGGUCGGUAAUGUUAACAGGAGGUCGGUAAUGUUAACAGAUGGUCGGUAAUGUUAACAGGUGGUCGGUAAUGUUAACAGGUGGGCGGUGUGGUCGGUAAUGUUAACAGGAGGUCGGUAAUGUUAACAGGUGGUCGGUGUGGUCGGUAAUGUUAACAGGUGGUCGGUAAUGUUAACAGGUGGGCGGUGUGGUCGGUAAUGUUAACAGGAGGUCGGUAAUGUUAACAGGUGGUCGGUAAUGUUAACAGGUGGUCGGUAAUGUUAACAGGUGGGCGGUGUGGUCGGUAAUGUUAACAGGUGGUCGGUAAUGUUAACAGGUGGUCGGUAAUGUUAACAGGUGGUCGGUGUGGUCGGUAAUGUUAACAGGAGGUCGGUAAUGUUAACAGGUGGUCGGUAAUGUUAACAGGAGGUCGGUAAUGUUAACAUGUUUAAAUGAUUCUACUGUGGAAGUGUUAAUAUUUGUAUUGGAUUAAAAAGGACUUUGUUGAAGUUCACUUGGUCUUUAUAAAUGUCUUUGAUUCUCAAUCAAAAUGGUAUUGUAUCAGUGAUAAUAGAAACUGCCCUGGGUUAGUAAGAGUUCAGAGUAAAUGUUUAUUGAUAAUUUUAACAUUAAAUGCAGUGUAUUUGUUAGUCUUUUAGUUUAGGUUUAUGUCCUGUAAACAGCUAAGGUCAUUUAACCCUUUCAACACUGUAGACCAUAAUAGACUUAUCCAUAUCAAUGCAUGGUAGUGUCAACUUAAGUUUCAUAGGGGUGAAAGACUUAAGAAUGUGGUACUUAUCAGUCUGUACAUGAAAGUGUUAUAAUCUGACAAAUACAGUUGAAAAGUAUAUUCAAACUUCAUUUCUGUUUCAAAAUGCAUUUCAAUCAAAAUUGUUUCAAAAUGAUUUGCAUAGUUAAUGCAGAUAUGAGACUGAGCUAAGUGGCAAAACAUCUUGUGAAAUUAACUCAUUCACCCCUGGAGACACAUUUGAACUCUUCAAAUUCAAAGGUUGGAAUAGUUCAUUAUGAAAUUUCAGGGGUGAAGUAUUUGUAUAAUUCCUUUUUGUGAUGUUGAUUUUUCAGUGAUUUAUUGUAAAAAGAGACAAACAUUUUCUUUUAAAACAAGAUCAGUCACAAUAAUUUAUUGAAUCAACCAGUAUCAUUGAUUUUUAAGGAUUUAUACAUUUGACAUAGUACGCGAAAGUACGUUAUACUAUUAAGUAGAGAAGAAGAUACAUCUAUACAAGCCCCGGCUUACCUUUGAUGUCAACUGAGCGAAACUGAGCGAAGACAUGUUUUUUAUGAUAAAAGCCUUUAUGAUAUUAAGCAUUGUAGCAAAUAUGUAAAAUUCUAAUGUAUGUAGUCUGUCUUUUGUUGUAGAUUUAGGAAUAAACUCUUUUGCUCUUUAUAAUUUCUUUUAAUAUAAUAAGGUGUAGACAGUGUUUCAGGAGUUAAGAAAUGGCACAGGGGCUAGACAUAUUGCUAUUGACCUUCUGAUUGUAGAAUAGUAAUGUUGCCGGCCCCUGCGAUUAAGAAGCUUAUAUGAGCUUUGUUGUUUUGUAUGAUCCUGAAAGGUUAUGAAAAUAUAAAAUCUAAAUUUAAUCAUUUCAUCAUCAGUCUAAAAUUCCUUCAUCUCGAAUGAUUUCUUCUUCUAAGAGAUAAAGAGAUAUUGAAAAAUCAUAGUUUCUUUUUGAUUUCUUUUGCAGUUUUCAAGUAGGUAUGAAAUUUUUACAAGUGCCGUUAAUUUGUCAUUUAAUCGGAUUUGAUAAAAAAAUAAAAUGUGUAAUGUA